UAUAAGGCAAAUUAAAACCAGAUAUUUUUUUAAAUAACUCUUUUAGAGAAAAAAUAUCAUAAAUGCACAGUUGUUGAAAAAACUUCUCUUUUUUAUUUUAAUAUUUUUACAUAAAAUAAUAAACCACGAAUGCGCAGAAUGUAUCUUACAAUAAUCUUAGAAAAUCGGUGAACCAGUCUAUUAUCUGAUUACCCGGUUAUGACACGUACGGGUCAGAUGCAAGCGUCCAGUAGACUAGGGAUAUCGAGGUCAACACGCUGGCGGUUGGGGAAAGAUAUAGGCGAGUGUGCGGUCAAGGUCAAAAUUGCGAGAGGGUGAUUCGAAGUGAAAUACCGCAACAAAAACGUUCGAUUUGGACAUUAACGCGUCUAACUGAAUGAGUCACAACGUUUCUACCACAAGAGUUGUAAAUAUUGAACAGAAAGGGCUUCAUCUUCAAGAUGAAAACUGCAAAAAAU
Long non-coding RNA from Mya arenaria, 458 nucleotides. RefSeq lists it as uncharacterized. The record is from RefSeq and is a predicted model, not a curated record. The transcript has 3 exons. NCBI's taxonomy places the organism in Eukaryota, Metazoa, Mollusca, Bivalvia, Myida, Myidae.